GCGCGAAAAACUCCGCAAUGCGCGAAAGCGCGACGGGGGUCAUCCCGAGUGCCGCCCGCUGAGGGCGGCUUUUGCCUGGUCUAACCAGCCGAGUGAAUAAGGGGAGGGCAAGUCUGGUGUCAGCCGCCGCGGUAAUACCAGCUCCUCGAGUGGUUGGGACGAUUAUUGGGUCUAAAGCGUCCGUAGCCGGCCGGAAAAGUUCUCCGUUAAAUCCAACGAUUCAAUCGUUGGGCUGCGGGGAAUACUCUUCGGCUUGGGGGCGAGGGAGGUCGGCGGUAGUCUCGGGGUAGGGGCGAAAUCCUAUAAUCCCGAGAGGACCACCAGUGGCGAAGGCGGCCGACUAAAGCGCGCCCGACGGUGAGGGACGAAAGCUGGGGGAGCGAACGGGAUUAGAUACCCCGGUAGUCCCAGCUGUAAACGAUGCAGGCUAGGUGUUGGGACGGCCACGAGCUGUCCCAGUGCCGCAGGGAAGCCAUUAAGCCUGCCACCGUGGGGAGUACGGUCGCAAGGCUAGAAUUCUCUUUGAGCAUUUGCUCGAGGGACU
RNAcentral lists this ribosomal RNA (544 nucleotides) under uncultured miscellaneous Crenarchaeota group. RNAcentral's name for it is "bacterial SSU rRNA". It matches the Rfam family "Archaeal small subunit ribosomal RNA", at positions 339 to 878 of the family's 1478-position model. Lineage: Archaea; Thermoproteati; Candidatus Bathyarchaeota. The record is from RNAcentral.